Molecule: ribosomal RNA, 484 nt
Filed under: uncultured bacterium
Lineage: Bacteria
Description: partial 16S ribosomal RNA
Rfam family: Bacterial small subunit ribosomal RNA
Source: RNAcentral
AGUGAACGCUGGCGGCAGGCCUAACACAUGCAAGUCGAGCGGAUGAAGGGAGCUUGCUCCUGGAUUCAGCUGCGGACGGGUGAGUAAUGCCUAGGAAUCUGCCUGUUAGUGGGGGAUAACGUCCGGAAACGGGCGCUAAUACCGCAUACGUCCUGAGGGAGAAAGGGGGGGAUCUUCGGACCUCACGCUAUCAGAUGAGCCUAGGUCGGAUUAGCUAGUUGGUGGGGUAAAGGCCUACCAAGGCGACGAUCCGUAACUGGUCUGAGAGGAUGAUCAGUCACACUGGAACUGAGACACGGUCCAGACUCCUACGGGAGGCAGCAGUGGGGAAUAUUGGACAAUGGGCGAAAGCCUGAUCCAGCCAUGCCGCGUGUGUGAAGAAGGUCUUCGGAUUGUAAAGCACUUUAAGUUGGGAGGAAGGGCAGUAAGUUAAUACCUUGCUGUUUUGACGUUACCAACAGAAUAAGCACCGGCUAACUUCGUG